This 497-nucleotide ribosomal RNA is filed under the name uncultured bacterium. Its description in RNAcentral is "partial 16S ribosomal RNA". It matches the Rfam family "Bacterial small subunit ribosomal RNA", at positions 28 to 507 of the family's 1533-position model. The record is from RNAcentral.
GAUGAACGCUGGCGGCAUGCCUAAUACAUGCAAGUCGAGCGAACGGACGAGAAGCUUGCUUCUCUGAUGUUAGCGGCGGACGGGUGAGGAACACGUGGAUAACCUACCUAUAAGACUGGGAUAACUUCGGAAAACCGGAGCUAAUACCGGAUAAUAUUUUGAACCGCAUUGUUCAAAAGUGAAAGACGGUCUUGGUGUCACUUAUAGAUGGAUCCGCGCUGCAUUAGCUAGUUGGUAAGGUAACGGCUUACCAAGGCAACGAUGCAUAGCCGACCUGAGAGGGUGAUUGGACACCUUGGAACUGAGACACGGUCCAGACUCCUACGGGAGGCAGCAGUCGGGAAUCUUCCGCGAUGGGCGAAAGCCUGACGGAGCAACGCCGCGUGAGUGAUGAAGGUCCUCUGAUCGUAAAACUCUGUUAUUAGGGAAGAACAUAUGUGUAAGUAACUGUGCACAUCUUGACGGUACCUAAUCAGAAAGCCACGGCUAACUACGUG